Non-coding RNA from Callithrix jacchus (white-tufted-ear marmoset), 7402 nucleotides. NCBI's taxonomy places the organism in Eukaryota, Metazoa, Chordata, Mammalia, Primates, Cebidae. The record is from RefSeq and is a predicted model, not a curated record.
ACUGAUCAGAGGGACAAGAGUCAGAGAGAGCCAGGAGCGGAGGGAGGGGCACCGCACACCCGUCACAGGCCCACGGGAGGGCUGUGCCGCCCAGAGCCUGGGCUAGAGCCUCCAAGGACCUACGCCGCAGAUCUGCCCCUGCCUUGUGGGGGACCCACCUCCCCAGGCCUGCUGUGGCUGUGUGUCUUUGGAUUCUACAGCCUAUGUGAGGUCUGAGCUGUCCUGGAAACAACUCGCUACCCAUCUCUUAGAUCUGGUCUUCAGUUCAGCUGGACCCCCCCCUGCCAGGUCCCCUUGCCCAGCAGGUGCUCAAGGAGAACCUAAGCAGCCCCUCCCCAUCUCGAUGUGCAGAGACCACUCUGCCAGCACUGCGGGUCCCACCUCCAGCAUCAUCACGUGCUUCUGCCAUCAUCCGUGCAGAGCGACCACCUGUCACCUGCCUCGACAUUCUAGGGCCGCCAGCCACUCCCCAGGCCUGCCCACUGUGUGCACCCACACUCCCCAGCCUUCAAAGCUCCCCGUGGACCCUGCCCACUGCCUGAAGCCCUGGGCUCUGUCCUGCCGUGGUCUGUGCAAGGCGGCACCUGCUCGUGGAGGAGUCUGUGCUGAGGGAACAGCAAGCUGACCUUGCCCCGGUCACAGGCAGGGCUGGUGAGACUUCUGAGACCACCAACGCCAGGACCAGUGCCUUUGCUAAGCUCCCUUCUCCGCCACCAGACAGGGAAACGCAUUACGUGUCACCCAACAGAAAACAUUCAGCUGUGGGAUGGCCUGCAGGAGGCCGGCAACCCAGCCCAGGAGAGCAGCACUUCCAAGACACCGUCCCAGCCUGGCUUCCCGGCACAUGACCUGGGGCAGCAGGAGCUGUGGACCCGGGCACACAGACCUGGGCUCAGAGCUGCUGUGUGCCUUCCUAGCUGGCGACCGUCAUCUGAGCAGUGGGGGCACCUCUCAAUCCCAUAGGGUGCAGGACAGAGGGAGACCUUUGAACUGAGCUUGAACUCAGGGCCUGGGAAAUGGGCAACCUCCCUGUGGACCCCAGAGGCCCCUUCUGACCAAAGGCAGACCAGGACAGCAGUUGCCCUCACAAGGACGCAAGCCAGCCCCACAGCCUCUGGUGCAGCCCCACUGGGAGGUGGCUGUCGGGGUGGGGGCCCGUGGAAGGAAGGGGUUAGGAUGGCUCGGCUCAGCCCUGGAGGACCCCUCGGUAUGAGCUGCGGACACAGGCAAGAUCAGGAUGACCUGGCAAGGUGGCACCUCCUGGGGUGAAGGGGAGGUGCUAGGUGUUCCCAGCUUCCCUGAGCAUUGCAACUCCAUCCAGUACACGCCCCACCUUCUGGCCUCGGGGCUGGGGCCCUUCCCUGGUGCUCACCCUCUCUCCCCAGCUGGGCCCCUGACUUUCAGCACUGCAGUAUCAGGGUCUGGAUGACCAGCAAUGACAUGGCUACUGGGAGGUGCUGCAAACAGCAUUUAGGAAUCAGAGGCUGGGCUGGGCAUGGUGGCUGGCCAGCCGCGACGGUUCAGGCCUGUUAUCCCAGUGCUUUGGGAAGCCAAGGUGGGCAGAUCACUUGAGGUCAGGAGUUCAAGAGCAGCCUGGCCAACAUGAUGAAAUCCCAUCUCUACCAAAAAUACAAAAAUGAGCCAGGCGUGGUGGCGCGCACCUGUAGUCCCAGCUACUCUACUCAGGAAGCUGAGGCAGGAGAAUCACUUGAAGAACCUGGGAGGCGGAGACUGCAGUGAGCCCAGAUCAUGCCACUGCACUCCAGCCUGGGUGACAGAGCAAGACUUUGUCUCAUAAAAGAAACUAUGGGCUAAAGAGAAUUUAACUAUUAAUAGAGUCUAAUUAAUUAGGUGAGAUUAAAAUUUCCCAAGGCAGCCAGGAUGGCAGGGCAAUGUGACCAGACAUCCUGCAUCUUUCAGGAGCUGUGAGAUAUCUCAGGGUGGGGAAGAUGAGCCAUCUCAGAGUUGGGGGACUCGACAUCUGGAGAGGGGUAUGGCCGUCUUUGCCAGCUCCUCUGGGCAGCCAGGAGCCCUGCGGCAUCAGUGCCCGUCCUCUCUGCCUCCACCUGCCCAUAUCUGUACUAUUGUCUUGCCAGGGUGCCCAGGCAGCCAAGGCCUUUGAGAGAAAGAAGAGUGGUCCCUGGUGAAAGGAGACCAUGGUAGAGGAGCCCGGGUCAUGGGAGGGUGCAGGGAAGGGAGUGAAGAAGCCCGGGCAGGGCUGGGGGGUUCAGGGAAAAAAGGGGAACCCGACCUCACAGCACUAGCCAUCUAUUGGCCUGUAGCUUCCCAGGCGGCCAAGCUCUUUCACAUCUGCGUUCCUGACUCCCCUUCAACAUUUCUAUCAGGUGGGGAGCAUUAAAAUGGACCCGUUUACAUCUGAGCAAACCAAGGCUCACAGGCGCUCUGGGGCUGGCCUGGUGCCUCCGGCCACUGGGACCGGUGCCAGCAGUGCCAGUCUCCGCCUCCCACAAGGGAGGGGAUUGCAGCUUCAGGCCCAGGGUGGAGGGAGAUGGGCCUGUGCCUAAGAACAGGGAGGGCAUAGGGAAGCAGGAGCACCCCAGGGAGGGCUGCCCUGGGCAGGGCCGGGGGCUGGGGCUAGGCACUCACAGGCCUUUCCUGGGGCUGCAGAGACAGUCAGGUGGGUGGGUUGGGUUGAGAGAGAGCACCUGCUCUGCAGCAGGCUGGGGAAGGAUCCAGGUGGCCUGAUGGGAAGGCAGGGACCCCCAACCAGCGCAGGCUCAGAAGGGGCUGGGCUCAGCAUGGCCCCUGAGGUCCCCCCAGCUAUCUCCGGGGAGGCCAGAAGGCCAGAGCCAAGAGCUGGGUAGCCACUCCAGGGCCAACUGGGGGCCCACAGCCCAGGGCACCAGCCCAGGACAGAGUGGAAAAACAGCUUCAGGUUGACCCCAGGGAGAGUGGAGGGCUGAGUGAGGCCACCCGAUGCCAGAAGGCCCUUCUUGGGUCCCCACCUCUGCCUAUGCAGGUGGGAGCCAGCCCCUGCAGCUCCACCGCCGCCCACGUCUUUGGCCGGCACGCACCUGAGAUGGCCUGGACGGCCACACGGAGGAAGCCCUUCACCUCGCCCUUCUCACUGACGAUAGCCACGCGGUGCACCAGGGGCACGGGGUACAGCAGGUUGCUCAGGUACACGAAGGCCCUGCGGGGAAGCAGAGGCCAAGUCACCGGUCACCCCUUCAAGUGAGUUCUGAGCGGCAGUGGCGGCAGCACGGCCCGGCUCACGACACAACACGGAGCUGCAAAGCAGAGGGAAGCCACCGGACGGGACAGCCAGGACCAGGACAGCGAGAGCGGACGGGCAGGCAGGGUGGGCACCGGAGGAGACAGGAGGUGGGGGACAGAGAGGAGGAUGAGGAAUGAGCUGCGGCGAGCAGAGGCGCAGCCCAGCUGGGCCCGGACCCAGCUGCCUGAGAAGCGAGCAGCGGAGGAGGGAGGUUUCAGCCUGCUUCAAGGAGGACGGGGACUGGACCAGGACCCAGACCACGCUGCGCUGCCCCCUUCUCACACUGGCACUGAUGGCCAGCAUCACCCUGCCUCCUGCCUACUUCCCAAAGGUCCCUGAUGCUCACAGACCCCACAGAGCCACUUCCCCGAACAGAAACUCAGCAGGUGGGAGCUCUGAGGACCAGCCUAGGCAGAGACCACAAGCCCCUACGGUCGACGGGUAGCUGCUGCCUUCCCUGUGCUGACCCAUGUGUGGGCAGCUGGAAGGCCAGAGACGACCCUGUGAAGACUGCACACCCCUUCCCAGCAGCCCAGGAGUACAUGCUGAGAUUGGGGCACUUUCCUUCAGGGGAAGGAAGCCUGGCAUGAGAAGGACACCUGGAUGAGGACCCUGAGGCACAGAGAUGAAGGAAGUCGCCAGGGCCUGGCAGUGAGGCCUGCGUGGGACUCCUCUCCAGCUCCGCUGCAUGGACACCAAGCUCCACGGCCUCCCUCUAGGGCUGGGGUAGGCCUCCACUCUGGGUGGGCACUUAACCUGGGUGCCUGCCUAGUUAUCACAGCUGAUUAAUUAAGCAGAGGGAUUGUUUCACGCUUUUUCAGAAUGUCCUCAGGCUGGGGACUGGGGGGGGUCCCAGACGCUGCAGCAUUCACAGACUGCCUCUGACUGCUCUCAAGGUGCAACCCAAACUGUGCCCCAAAGGCGGGGACUGCUCGGGUGGGGCCCCAGGGGACAUCCAGGCAGAGGUUAUACAAUGGAAAGGACCCCAGGUCCGGGACCAAUGCUGCCCCAUCUCACCACGCCCUGUGAGCAUCCUCAUGGCACUGACCCGGGACCCAAGGCCACCCGUGGGAGCACGUGGGCCUGGCUGGGGUUCCAGUGCUGGGUGGUCUCCUCUCCCCACUGCCGGUCCCCGUCUGCCUGGCUUGGUGAUGGACUUGUUCAGCCAGAAAGGACUGCUGGGCCCUGAAUCCACUGCCCCAGUGGCAGCAGCAGCCUGAAGAGCACUGUGAGGGAACAGAGGAGGCGCCCACCUGCCCACCAGCCGGAACCAGGGGAAGCGGUCGUAGAAGGGGUCUCCGCCGGUCACCACGUUGUCACAGUCCUCGAUGACGCUGGAGGGCACCUCGGCAGCGCGGUCAUACAUCUCCCGCAUCAGUUCCAGGCGCUGCCUGCAGGGACGCCAGGGGCCAGUGUAUACCCAGGCCCAGCGCCCAGCAGCUGGCAUUGCACACCCUUAGCUCCUGGGGGCAGUGGGCUCGGCCCUGCGGGGCGUCUAUGCUCUGCUUUCCAGGGGCCUGUGAGUGACAUCCUCCACUCAUGGCGCUGACCUCACAUGGUGACUCAGUCACCCCCAUAAGUUAAGGCCAGCUGGACACAGUGGCUCCCACUAUAAUGCCAGUACUUUGGGAGGCCAAGGUGGAAGGAUUGGUUGAAGGCAGGAGUUAGAGGUCAGCCUGCGCAACAGAGCGAGACCUCGUCUCUACCAAAAAUGAAAAUUAAAAAAUCAGCUGGGUGUGGUGGUGCACUCUGUGCCUGGGGUCCCAGCUACCUGGGAGGCUGAGGUGGGAGGAUCAGCUGAGGCCAGGAGUUCCAGCUGCAGUGAGCCGUGCUCACACCUCUGCACUCCAGCCUGAGCAACAAGGCAAGGUCCCAUCUCUUUCUUUUUUUUUUUUUUGAGAUGGAGUUUAGCUCUUGUUACCCAGGCUGGAGUGCAAUGGCGCCAUCUCGGCUCACCGCAACCUCCGCCUCCCGGGUUCAGGCAAUUCUCCUGCCUCAGCCUCCUGAGUAGCUGGGAUUACAGGCACGCGCCACCAUGCCCAGCUAUUUUUUUUUUUUUGUAUUUUUAGUAGAGACUAAAAUACAUGGGGUUUCACCAUGUUGACCAGGAUGGUCUGGAUCUCUUGACCUCGUGAUCCACCUGCCUCGGCCUCCCAAAGUGCUGGGAUGACAGGCUGGAGCCACCGCGCCCGGCCGGUCCCAUCUCUUAAAAUCAAAUUAAAGAUCAGGACAAAUCAGAGUGAGCUCCACGCCCACCUCAGCUCCUCCUCCACCUUCUGCUGGCUCAGCUGAGGGACCCACCUCCCGGAGGAGCAAGGGGACAUUGCUUCCGCCCCAGCACCUCUCCGAGCCCCUCUGGGGAGCCGCCCUCCAGGCCCUGCUGUGCUCACUCCGGGCACCCCACCAGCCUGUUCUGUUGGCACCAUGGCCUGCCCACCCUCCACAGCACCGUCCUGAGCCCUGUGGGCCUGAGGAGCAUUAGCCUCAUGUCCUUCUCUCCUAAAGAAAACACCCAAAUCCAUUUCUAUGUACGACCACUGCGUUGGCAGAGAGAAUGUGAAUUCUACAAGGCUAGACUAUUCAGGUUGGUCUUCUAAUUUUAACAUAACAGCGGUGUCUGCAGGUACCCGCCGUGAAGCCUGUGCCCACCACCGCUCCUGUGGCCUCAGUCCUGCCCAGGAGGACUCACCCACCAUCCGCCCAGCGGCCCUCCAGCCACACCUGAGCUUCUCCAGCGUCCAGUAGUGAGUGGCCCCGUUCUUCUGGUCCUGGACCUCCACGGCCACGAUGGUGCGGGGGAAGGGCCUCGUCUCUCGGUCUUUGGCGGCCUCUGGGGGCAGCAGGUCAGGUGGCAGAGGGGAGUAGAGUGUGUCCGUGAGGAGGACAAACUGGAAUUGAACCUGUGAUGGGGAAGAUGACCACUCGUCAGCCCCUUGGGGGACAGGGCGCCAGGUCUCCAAAAGGGCUUCCUUCCCACCUUCUGGAGAUUCCAGCUGCACGUCCCACAGCAGUUCACUAGAACCUCACAGACGGCCGCUGCAGGGGACCACCUGCUUCCUGCCCACUCUGCCACCGCCUCCCGUGAGCAGGGAAGGCAAGUCCCGCCUGGCCAGUCCUGGGCUCCCUCACUGCCCACCCUUCUGGGGGGCCCAGGUCAAGCAGGGCUGCUAUGCCACCCCGGGGCUGGCAGAGGACCAGGCGCUGAGUCCCAAGCAGCUGUCCCCGUCAUGAGCGAGCCGAUGCCCUCUCUCCAACAGGAGGCGGUGCAGCCAGUGGGGCAGCCCACCUUCUUCUUCAGCUCCACGCUGAUGGCGUUGGCCUCCUUGAGGAAGAUGGCGUUGCCCCACAGCAGGUCCCUCAGUGAUGUGAACUGGUACCACUUCCACUUCCGGAAGGCCCAGAGCGCCAGCUCACACUCCCGCUCCGUCCACUGGACUGUGGGAGAGGUCACACACGGGCAUCUCAGGACAGCCACAACACUGACCCAUGCCCCACCCUCUGGAAGGUCCAGCUGGUCGGCCACUCCACGGGGCUGCCGUGUGACCCCAGGCUCUAUGUCACCACAGCCGGGUGAUGAUCAGAGUUUCGCUCGUUACCCAGGCUGGAGUGCAAUAGCACCAUCUCGGCUCACCGCAACCUCCGCCUCCUGGGUUCAGGCAAUUCUCCUGCCUCGGUCUCCCGAGUAGCUGGGAUUACAGGCACGCACCACCAUGCCCAGAUAAUUUUUGCAUUUUUAGUAGAGACGGGGUUUCACCAUGUUGACCAGGAUGGUCUCGAUCUCUUGACCUCGUGAUCCACCCGCCUCGGCCUCCCAAAGUGCUGGGAUUACAGGCUUGAGCCACCGCGCCCGGCCGCCAAUGGUCAUUUUUAUGUCAGCCUGGCCAGGCCACAGCACCCAGGGAUUCAGUCACAUACCCCCUGGGUGUGGCAUGGAGGUUUCUGCACAUGUGCUCAGCACCUGCAAUCAAUGGGCUGAUGCCCCCAGCAGCAAGGUGGGCCUCAUCCAAGCAGGUGAAGACCUGAGAGCAAACUGGGGCUUCCUCUGAGGAAGAAGAAACCCAGCAGAUGGAGUCCUCUGCCGCCAAGUUCCCAGCCUGCACCUGCCUGUGGGCUUCAGACUUCCCUGACCAGCCCUGCAAUCUGGUAAGCCCAUUCCUUGAAACA